GAAGAGGAAAAGCAAAAGAGAUGGAUUAGUUUGGCGGUUCAGGCGCUGUGGAUGUUCUCUUGCUUAAACCCUUGCCAGAGUUUGUUUCCUUUCUUGUUUGAUGCACCGGGAGAGUUUGAAGAGUUUUUGGGUGGUCCCUUGUGGGUUUUACGAUUGCAGACUUGUAGAACAGAAUGGGCGAUCUGGGCAUUGAGGCGUGGAAGCCGCUCCUAGGUUUGUCUACGUCGCUUGAGGGCAAAAGGAGGAGCAAGAAGAAAGUGCUCGAGAAUGAAGUUAAAUAUACUGGAAGAAGGACUUGUAUAAACCAAGUGAUUUGACAGUCCUUUUGGCAAAGGUUGAAGAAUCUGAGGUGAAAUACAAAGGAGUGAAUGCCUCAGAUCUCUGAGGGAUAUUUCCCUUGCACUUGCUGAGAUGCCUGCACGUGGUGAUCUAACAGGUGAUGUCUGUCACUCGGCAGAUGGUUACCAUCUCAAUGUUAAAAAGUAGGAGAUUCUUGAACUCUUGAAAUCAAUCUGGCAAAUUCUAGGAAUCACAAGGACUAUCCAUGGUAUAUGCUAUGCUUGGGUCUUAUUUCAGCAGCCAUUUAUCAUCUUUAUGCUUGUAAAUGAAGGGCGCUUCAGCAGAAGAACUGUUUUACUUACUAGGGCAGAACAGUUAAGAUCACCUCCGUCACCGUCCGCACCUCUAGUUCCUAUUCAUAUAGUGCCAGCACUAUUGUGACAAAUCUUACAAAGUCACAGUCCUUCAUUCACCACCAGUUCAGGAGUUAACAAUAGAUGAUAUUGAGGAUACUGAUAAUGAAUAUGACAAUGCUUGACUUAAUCAACUCAAGGUUGUAAGACGUCAACGAAAUGAUGCUCAACUUGAUAUAUAUAUAUAUAUAUAUAUAUAUAUAUAUAUAUAUAUAUACACAUAUAUGGGGAGAGAGAGAGAGAAAUAGAGAGAGAGAGAGUUGCUGAGUGGUCUAUCCAGUCACAUUUUGUUUACAGUUUUUUAAAAUUAAUUAUAUAGAUGUGUUCUUCAUGUCUAAAACUAUAAAAACCAACACAAAAAUUGUAGUUUUUGGAUAUACAAGAUUAGUUUUAUAAGCUAAAAACUUUAACUGUUGAUUAUUAUACUUCUAUAAAUCUUAGCCACACACUUACAUUGUCAUUUGUAGAUGGAUUUAUAAUGUUUUAUUGACCAAGAUCACAUCCAUAGUUGAUUUUACAAGAAAAAGAUUUAAUCAUAAUUGUGACUAGGCUGUCCAGCUGGUUUCACUCAUUCCUUACACACACACACACACUCUCUCUCUCUCUCUACAAAUGAGAGUUACUUUGUGAUAUUAUCGUGGACUGCUUAGGGAUAGACUUGUGUCUGGGGUUCGUCAUGCAUCGCUGGUCUGAAAGUCUUGUAUUUUUUGUGUACUUGAAAAAGAAAAAGGAAUUUCUGUUCGCAAAAUUGUGCCACUCUUGCCAGGAUGUACGAGUUCUAGAUGGUGGUCCAUCGCGAAUCUUUUUCCAAGGUGAUAGGCUUUCCAAAAAGAUCUUGAAAUGCUAAAGGUAAUCUUUUUUAGCAUUAAUUAUUUCCUCUGGAGCAUUGGAGAAUUUGAUGGUUUAUAUAUGGUUACUAAUCCAACUGGGGACAUAUGCAAUGAAGAAUGGCUAGUGGGGUUUUGAGUCUCGAGUUGUGCCUCAGCUGUCUUAGGCCUCAACAAUAAACCUGAGUUAUCUGGUUCUGAUUGAGUUAACUGAAUUCAAUCUUGUCACGUCUUCUUCUAGCGCACAAACAAGUUCACCUUUGUACAAAAUGGUUGGUUGUACGUCUAUGCAACUUUUUCCUACUGUGUGGUACAUCAACUUGGAAAUGAGUAGUACCUUGCAGAUUUUCUAGUAGUUAUAGAACUCAAUUUCAUUUCCCAAGUUUUAACCUGAAGUUGGAACUGUUUUUCUUUGCUUAUGGGCUUGAGGACUCCCAAUCCAUUUGGAAAUCAACCUGUUAUUACUACUAAAGAUAAUAUGUGAGGAGCUAUAAUCAGACAUUGCGUCGAAGUUCAUCAAAACUUGACUAUUAGAUGUUUUCUUUUGCAUGGGCUGUUCAACCUAUGUUGGGCAAUUGUCAACUCAAAGUUACGGUGUUCCUUUGAUUUGAUGAUUUUUUCUGUUGUUCUAGGGCUGGAUAAUUCAUGUGGGUUCUUACUAUGGUAUGGUGCUUUGUUUGAAAGCAUGGGCUUUUUACUAGUUUUAUCAGAGCCAUCUGCCUAAAUUGAAAUACUUAUUUAGUAAUAUUAGGUUCCUCCGAUCAAGUUUACAUGGCUUUGUUUGUCAAAUCAUGUUGGUCCGAAAUCUCAUUUCACUUUGG
Molecule: RNA transcript, 2340 nt
Organism: Nymphaea colorata (pocket water lily)
Lineage: Eukaryota; Viridiplantae; Streptophyta; Magnoliopsida; Nymphaeales; Nymphaeaceae
Gene name: protein unc-13 homolog
Exons: 6
Source: RefSeq, a predicted model, not a curated record